Molecule: long non-coding RNA, 465 nt
Filed under: Mytilus galloprovincialis (Mediterranean mussel)
Lineage: Eukaryota; Metazoa; Mollusca; Bivalvia; Mytilida; Mytilidae
Source: RNAcentral
AAUAAUGAGGGGUGUCACGGGGUAUGACUAUAUAGGUCUUGUAGAGGAGAAAACAGGCGCUUCUUUUGCGCAAGGUAUCGAAGGGCGCUAUGUUCAAAAAUCUGAAACUAGAGCCCAAAAUUUGAAAAAAAUGGUAAAAAAAUAGGGGGUCGACCUAUUCCAGGGCUCCUAGAGAAAAAAUAAUGAGGGGUGUCACGGGGUAUGACUAUAUAGGUCUUGUAGAGGAGAAACAGGCGCUUCUUUUGCGCAAGGUAUCGAAGGGCGCUAUGUUCAAAAAUCUGAAACUAGAGCUCAAAAUUUGAAAAAAAAUGUAAAAAACAGGGGGGUCGGCCUAUUCCAGGGCUUCUAGAGAAAAAUAAUGAGGGGUGUCACGGGGUAUGACUAUAUAGGUCUUGUAGAGGAGAAACAGGCGCUUCUUUUGCGCAAGGUAUCGAAGGGCGCUAUGUUCAAAAAUCUGAAACUAGA